UUGGUGAGGACCCCAAGCUCGG
This 22-nucleotide microRNA is filed under the name Homo sapiens (human). RNAcentral's name for it is "hsa-miR-7855-5p". Lineage: Eukaryota; Metazoa; Chordata; Mammalia; Primates; Hominidae. The record is from miRBase by way of RNAcentral.